This 167-nucleotide ribosomal RNA is filed under the name uncultured rumen bacterium. Its description in RNAcentral is "partial 16S ribosomal RNA". It matches the Rfam family "Bacterial small subunit ribosomal RNA", at positions 340 to 524 of the family's 1533-position model. The record is from RNAcentral.
UACGGGAGGCAGCAGUGGGGAAUAUUGCACAAUGGGCGAAAGCCUGAUGCAGCAACGCCGCGUGAAGGAUGAAGGCCCUUGGGUCGUAAACUUCUGUUCUAAGGGAAGAUAAUGACGGUACCUUAGGAGCAAGUCCCGGCUAACUACGUGCCAGCAGCCGCGGUAAU